Long non-coding RNA from Pollicipes pollicipes, 223 nucleotides. RefSeq lists it as uncharacterized. Lineage: Eukaryota; Metazoa; Arthropoda; Thecostraca; Pollicipedomorpha; Pollicipedidae. The record is from RefSeq and is a predicted model, not a curated record. The transcript has 3 exons.
CCAGACGAAGCUGACGGCGCCGCCGAAUCAGCAGAGCCAACCUUCUACGAGGUGUCCACGCAGCCGGGAGUCGGCAAGAAGGAAGGUGCCGACUCGACGGAAUCGAUUGGCGCGACGGGCCAAACCGCUGAUGACGUCACCGAGGCCGUGACCGAAGCGGCUGGCGGGUCCGUCAGACGACGGCGCCAGGUGCGAACCACUGGUCCUCCACGGAGUAGCAGGA